This 460-nucleotide ribosomal RNA is filed under the name uncultured bacterium. RNAcentral's name for it is "partial 16S ribosomal RNA". It matches the Rfam family "Bacterial small subunit ribosomal RNA", at positions 338 to 795 of the family's 1533-position model. The record is from RNAcentral.
CCUACGGGCGGCUGCAGUGAGGAAUAUUGGUCAAUGGGAGGAAUCCUGAACCAGCCAUGCCGCGUGCAGGACGACGGCUCUACGAGUUGUAAACUGUUUUUGUACCGGGGUAAAAUGCUCUACGAGUCGGGUUUUGAACGUACGGUACGAAUAAGGAUCGGCUAACUCCGUGCCAGCAGCCGCGGUAAUACGGAGGAUCCGAGCGUUAUCCGGAUUCAUUGGGUUUAAAGGGUGCGUAGGUUGUUUUAUAAGUUAGCGGUGAAAUACCGAGGCUCAACAUCGGGGCUGCCGCUAAUACUGUAGAACUAGAGAGCAGAUGCGGCAGGCGGAAUGUGUAGUGUAGCGGUGAAAUGCAUAGAUAUUACACAGAACACCAAUGGCGAAGGCAGCUUGCUAGGCCGGAUCUGACACUGAUGCACGAAAGCGUGGGGAUCGAACAGGAUUAGAUACCUUUGUAGUC